Long non-coding RNA from Numida meleagris (helmeted guineafowl), 1012 nucleotides. RefSeq lists it as uncharacterized. NCBI's taxonomy places the organism in Eukaryota, Metazoa, Chordata, Aves, Galliformes, Numididae. The record is from RefSeq and is a predicted model, not a curated record. The transcript has 3 exons.
UAACAAAGGAGUGUAUUUCAAAGAAGGCACUCUGUGUUUUCCACCCUUUUUCUGAAGUGUUUUCAAACACACUCCAAGCUAAAAAUUCUCAGAAGUGAGAAAAAGAGGUAUAUAUCAGACGACCCCUGAAGCAGCUGACAAUCCCAGGGAGCAGAAGAUAGGGUCAGAUUCUAGAUGCUUGAAUCCCAAAUACAUUUUCACCAUAGGAGGCCCUGAUUUAUUUUUGCCCUACCCACUGGUUGCAAACUUUGAAAUGCACAAUACAAAAGCAUUGGACUAAUGCCCUACUUGCAUUUUUUUAUUUGGCUGAAAUGUGACAUGUCUUGUUUUUUUUUGUCUGGUUCCAAAAGACAUUGGUCAGGUCCUUUGUUGUGAAAAGACAUUGCAUCUGCCUUAAUCUAUAUAUCUUCUUAAUUAAAUAAAGGAUUAGCAUUUGUUUAGGCUAUAAUAAAACAAGUUGUCAGGCAAUAUCAAUAUAGGCAUCGUAAGGAAUCUGCUAAACACAAAAUUAAGAAAAAAUUAACUAUUUUUCUAAUUAUCAUCUAGGUGGUUAUCUGGCGUGAAAGCAAUGGUCCAGACAAUCUCUCCAGUCCAAAGAAGAGUAAGAAGGAAGAUGAAGGAAAAGGAAAACUGGAAGUGAAUCUGUAACCCAAGAUGACAAAAGUAACACCAGAUCUUGACAAUCAAAUAUAGGAGGAAAAUAUACAAAUCUCCUAUUAAUGUCUGUCGUGAAAACUUGUGAUGACCUGAAGAGCGUCUGUAACUAUUGGCCAGGAUCAUAAAUCACCCAUCUACGUGGAAUCCCACAGAACUGAAGCAGACAAUACUUUUACAUCUGAUAUCUUGAAGUGUUGCCUUUUCUGGGGAUAGAACCAAAAGAACUAUGGAUACCUGAACCUGCUGUUACAAAAGGAGAAUGAAGGUUACACAUUCAACUGACACUGCUCGGAAUGUACGAUAUGGUUAAAUGUUAUGCUAAAGGUACUGAAGUGAGCAUAUUUUUCACUGUAUG